RNAcentral lists this ribosomal RNA (742 nucleotides) under uncultured bacterium. RNAcentral describes it as "bacterial SSU rRNA". It matches the Rfam family "Bacterial small subunit ribosomal RNA", at positions 8 to 796 of the family's 1533-position model. The record is from RNAcentral.
AGAGUUUGAUCCUGGCUCAGAACGAACGCUGGCGGCAGGCUUAACACAUGCAAGUCGAACGCAUCCUUCGGGGUGAGUGGCAGACGGGUGAGUAACGCGUGGGAACGUGCCCUUCAGUUCGGGAUAACCCAGGGAAACUUGGGCUAAUACCGGAUACGUGCGAGAGCAGAAAGAUUUAUCGCUGAAGGAUCGGCCCGCGUCUGAUUAGCUAGUUGGUAGGGUAAUGGCCUACCAAGGCGACGAUCAGUAGCUGGUCUGAGAGGAUGAUCAGCCACAUUGGGACUGAGACACGGCCCAAACUCCUACGGGAGGCAGCAGUGGGGAAUAUUGGACAAUGGGCGCAAGCCUGAUCCAGCCAUGCCGCGUGAGUGAUGAAGGCCUUAGGGUUGUAAAGCUCUUUCGUCCGGGACGAUAAUGACGGUACCGGAAGAAGAAGCCCCGGCUAACUUCGUGCCAGCAGCCGCGGUAAUACGAAGGGGGCUAGCGUUGUUCGGAAUCACUGGGCGUAAAGGGCGCGUAGGCGGCUUUAUAAGUCGGGGGUGAAAGCCUGUGGCUCAACCACAGAAUUGCCUUCGAUACUGUAGAGCUUGAGACCGGAAGAGGUAAGUGGAACUGCGAGUGUAGAGGUGAAAUUCGUAGAUAUUCGCAAGAACACCAGUGGCGAAGGCGGCUUACUGGUCCGGUUCUGACGCUGAGGCGCGAAAGCGUGGGGAGCAAACAGGAUUAGAUACCCUAGUAGUCC